UGUGGGAAUAGGGCGCGCCGUCGAGCGCUUCCCUGAAACGGAAUCACGGUGAAUGACGGUCGAGACCGAAGUGCACGGGUGACACGCGCCCUGAUCUGAGAAGGUCCGGUGAGGCUUGGAGCGUCACUGCUUUCCUCUUCCUGGCUCUCGGCACGUGUGGCUCUGGGCUCUCAUGUAGAACACAGGAGGUGGAGGUGCGUGGGUCACCGUGUUCCUUAGCGACGCCCUCGAACCCCAGACAAGCCCAGAGGAACGACCGGUUGGACGUUUCUGACCUCGCAAAGCCUCCCACCGACGUGUCUCCGUGACGCCCGGAGAAGAACAGAGGCUUCGUCGUGCUGAGAAGCGGCGGAGUGCAGAUGGAGCCCGAGCCGUAACCCUACAGACCCUGCGUAUUUCAACCACA
This 406-nucleotide long non-coding RNA is filed under the name Scleropages formosus (Asian bonytongue). RNAcentral's name for it is "lncRNA (ENSSFOG00015033195.1)". The record is from RNAcentral. Lineage: Eukaryota; Metazoa; Chordata; Actinopteri; Osteoglossiformes; Osteoglossidae.